GAUGAACGCUGGCGGCGUGCUUAACACAUGCAAGUCGAACGGGAAACCUUUUAUUGAAGCUUCGGCAGAUUUAGAUUGUUUCUAGUGGCGGACGGGUGAGUAACGCGUGGGUAACCUGCCUUAUACAGGGGGAUAACAGUCAGAAAUGACUGCUAAUACCGCAUAAGCGCACAGAGCUGCAUGGCUCAGUGUGAAAAACUCCGGUGGUAUAAGAUGGACCCGCGUUGGAUUAGCUAGUUGGUGAGGUAACGGCCCACCAAGGCGACGAUCCAUAGCCGGCCUGAGAGGGUGAACGGCCACAUUGGGACUGAGACACGGCCCAGACUCCUACGGGAGGCAGCAGUGGGGAAUAUUGCACAAUGGGGGAAACCCUGAUGCAGCGACGCCGCGUGAAGGAAGAAGUAUCUCGGUAUGUAAACUUCUAUCAGCAGGGAAGAAAAUGACGGU
RNAcentral lists this ribosomal RNA (447 nucleotides) under uncultured bacterium. RNAcentral's name for it is "bacterial SSU rRNA". It matches the Rfam family "Bacterial small subunit ribosomal RNA", at positions 28 to 458 of the family's 1533-position model. The record is from RNAcentral.